GUGCACGGUCAUAGCGAUGGUGUUUACCCGGUCCCAUCCCGAACCCGGAAGUCAAGCCCAUCUGCGUCAGUUCUGGUACUGUGGUGCGAGAGCCCACGGGAACGACUGUCACUGUGCCUC
This 120-nucleotide ribosomal RNA is filed under the name Euryarchaeota archaeon TMED279. The record is from RNAcentral. Lineage: Archaea; Methanobacteriati; Methanobacteriota. RNAcentral also lists the same sequence under 1 other name.